Sitophilus oryzae (rice weevil) is the source of this 698-nucleotide long non-coding RNA. RefSeq lists it as uncharacterized. NCBI's taxonomy places the organism in Eukaryota, Metazoa, Arthropoda, Insecta, Coleoptera, Curculionidae. The record is from RefSeq and is a predicted model, not a curated record. The transcript is spliced from 2 exons.
UAUGGCCCUAUUUAAAAACAAAGUUAAAAACUCAACAGCAUUCCUGUAGUUUUAAAUAAUACAAAAAAUACCUACUAAAAGCAUUUAAAGAAGAUUUACAAUUUGUAAAUGCAUUUUGGGGAUCCAGCGAUUCAUAGAACUUUGAUAAUUAAUAUUACAGACUGGAUUAUUUUUAAUUUGUGUUGUUUCACUUAAUUUUGUGAAAAACACUAUAAUAAGAAGAAACGUAUUAUUUGCCCACUGUGUACUCUAAAUAUGGUAGUCUGUAUAUAGUUUGUGGCUGUAUAGUUUGUGGAAGUUGCCGUAUAUUGCAACAACAUUUGAAGGAUACAUCAGCAAUUGUUCUAAAUGAACAGAGAAGGCCAGUAGUUCAAUAAAAAGACCAUAUAAUGAGCCAUAAAAGGAAAAUGGAUAAGCAAGAAUUAUUCCCAACAAAGUGAAAGAGGUUAUUGGUUUAAGGCUUUAUUUCGUUUGUUUUUGGUCUUACUUAAGUAAAUAUGUAUUGACUGUUGGUUAAGGGUUUUAUAUUUAUUUUGUACUACUUAUGCUACUAACCUGUAUAAUGUGGUAUUGUUUAUUGUUAAAAUUAUUGUAUUGUAUUGUUGUAAUUACUGUAUUUUCUUGACAUAGAACAGCCAUAAGUUUCUGAUAAGAAACUGCAACAUUCUAAUAAAGUCUGUGAUUAUUAGAACUAUAAA